Molecule: long non-coding RNA, 925 nt
Organism: Theobroma umbraticum
Lineage: Eukaryota; Viridiplantae; Streptophyta; Magnoliopsida; Malvales; Malvaceae
Source: RefSeq, a predicted model, not a curated record
AAUAGCCAACCAAAUGGCUUUGUCUUGAGAAAAACCGAACCUUUGAGAAAGAAAAAGAGAGAUUUAGCUAGGAAGCAAAGGAAGAAAGAAAGAAAGAAAGAAAGAAAGAAAGGAGAAAGGAAGAAAAGAAGAAGGGGAGAGAGGACAAAGAAGAAAAGAGAAAGUGAAGGUUUGGCCUAGUGAACUUGAGACAUGGAAGGUAAAAAGAUUUGUCAUUUUACUUGAAAUGCAUGCUUUGUAAAUCAAUUGUAAUGUGAGAUUUUGUUUGUGGUAGCAAGAAUCUACAAAGAUUCAAAGGACCCGAGGCAUACAUGUAGGUAGAUCUUGGAAUGCGUGGAGAUUUUAGAGCUAAAUAAGCAAUAGCAAAAGUGGCCAUAGAUGUGAGGAAGUUGUGAAUCAUAUUCGGAAAUUCAAGCUUGAAUAGAGAGAAGAUUCGAAAGGAGGUCGGUUGUCACUUCAGUUAAGUGUGACCCUUGUGCACAAGUGAGCUUUUGCUCGAGAACUUUUGGGUCAUCGACGGCUUGUUAGACAUGGCUGAGGCCAUGGUCUAUAAUAUACGUGGCUGGGCCACGGGUUGUUAUAUAUGGCUAGACCAUAAGUGAUAUUCAUGGUUACGACCACUUGAUUUCUCCGAUGUCAACCAAUAUCAUUGAGACUGCCAUGGCAUGUGGAAAUUCGAUGGAGCGGUGCUCUCGAAUUGUUAUUACGUGGAAAUAGGUCCGUGGGUUGAUAUUUACGAUUUCUUACUCGAAAGCGAUAUCUCUUUGGGUUUUCAAACAUGACUUCUGCUGCAGGAUACUGAUCGACCUAGCAUGCAAUCAUCGUUGCUUAUGGUCCAUUGCAGAUAGGUAACGACAUCUCAUAGCACUUUAUUCCAAGUCCAUAGCUUGAAGUAUUUGUAAAUGGUGUCAAUAUAAAUAUGCAG